RNAcentral lists this ribosomal RNA (793 nucleotides) under uncultured bacterium. RNAcentral describes it as "bacterial SSU rRNA". It matches the Rfam family "Bacterial small subunit ribosomal RNA", at positions 1 to 811 of the family's 1533-position model. The record is from RNAcentral.
UAGAGUUUGAUCAUGGCUCAGGAUGAACGCUGGCGGCGUGCCUAACACAUGCAAGUCGAACGGAGUUACGAUGAAACCUAGUGAUUCGUAACUUAGUGGCGGACGGGUGAGUAACGCGUGGAUAACCUGCCUUACACUGGGGGAUAACACUUAGAAAUAGGUGCUAAUACCGCAUAAGCGCACAGAGCCGCAUGGCUCAGUGUGAAAAACUCCGGUGGUGUAAGAUGGAUCCGCGUCUGAUUAGCUGGUUGGCGGGGUAGAAGCCCACCAAGGCGACGAUCAGUAGCCGGCCUGAGAGGGUGAACGGCCACAUUGGGACUGAGACACGGCCCAAACUCCUACGGGAGGCAGCAGUGGGGAAUAUUGCACAAUGGGGGAAACCCUGAUGCAGCGACGCCGCGUGAGUGAAGAAGUAUUUCGGUAUGUAAAGCUCUAUCAGCAGGGGAGAAAAUGACGGUACCUGAUUAAGAAGCCCCGGCUAACUACGUGCCAGCAGCCGCGGUAAUACGUAGGGGGCAAGCGUUAUCCGGAUUUACUGGGUGUAAAGGGAGCGUAGACGGCAGCGCAAGUCUGAAGUGAAAUGCCGGGGCUUAACCCCGGAACUGCUUUGGAAACUGAGCAGCUAGAGUGCAGGAGAGGAUCGUGGAAUUCCAUGUGUAGCGGUGAAAUGCGUAGAUAUAUGGAGGAACACCAGUGGCGAAGGCGACGAUCUGGCCUGCAACUGACGCUCAGUCCCGAAAGCGUGGGGAGCAAAUAGGAUUAGAUACCCUAGUAGUCCACGCCGUAAACGAUG